CCGCCCCAGUUCUCCUGGCUCUCGCCCUCUGUGGCAUAGGAGAAGCCCUCCUCCACCGAGAAGGGGUCGUCCACAUCGUAGCGCUGGCACUGGGUACCAAGAGAUGUGGCCAUAUCCCUUUACACCAUGAGCAGGUGACCAGGUGAAGAGACCAAGAAAGGGCUGCAGUGAUGGAGGUGUAACAACUGCACACAGUGGUCCCAGCAUGGCCAAGAGGAGCUGUGGAGAGAGGAGCAGGUACCAGGGCUCACAGAAGUGGAGGAAUAAAACACACCUGUGACAGAUUCUUCCUUCUCCUGUGCAACAGUUUGGCACCCACUGCCUUCACAAGCAAAACACAAUGCCAAAGAGGGGAGAAGCAAUUGGGGGAAUGUAUCAGUUGGUGCUGGAUUGAGGGACUGAGUCAAACUGAGGGGCUAUUUCAGGGUGUAGCUCUUUUCACUCAAACUCUCCUAGGAUAUCUGACAAGCUCUGCAGUUGAUGUGAAAGGCACCCAUCAAAAUUACCGCUAGGCUGACAGUGGGUGACAGUCAUCCUUGACAGGUGCAGCAGAGUGGAACACAUUUCACAGAGCAUAGC
Long non-coding RNA from Chinchilla lanigera (long-tailed chinchilla), 579 nucleotides. RefSeq lists it as uncharacterized. NCBI's taxonomy places the organism in Eukaryota, Metazoa, Chordata, Mammalia, Rodentia, Chinchillidae. The record is from RefSeq and is a predicted model, not a curated record. The transcript has 3 exons.